RNAcentral lists this long non-coding RNA (392 nucleotides) under Elaeis guineensis (African oil palm). RNAcentral describes it as "long non-coding RNA (EGUI_LNC011807)". Lineage: Eukaryota; Viridiplantae; Streptophyta; Magnoliopsida; Arecales; Arecaceae. The record is from RNAcentral.
AGGGAUAAUUUAUCAGACCCUUAGAAGACUAUCGAGAGUGCAUGCCACAGGCACAAGCUCGUCGUCGACAUAUAAUAUCUCUUAUACAAAGAUGAGAAGUGCUAGAUGCUGCAGGUACAAGAUCGUCAUAGGCACACAAAGCCACUCAUGAGAGCUAACUUACCAUAUCCUCGAGAAGAUCUUGAUGAUUUCGAAGUGGGGCUAACUUACAAGACCCCUACAGAGCCUGAGUCAUUUGAAAAGCGGAGGGAGAUCCUUAGAAAAUCUUCAGAGGGAUAACUAAUCAGAUCCUCAAAAAGCUGUCGAGAGUGCAAGAUGCCGCAGGCACAAGCUCACCGCUGGCACACACUGCCUCUCGUAUGAAGAUGACAAGAGCUAGAUGUCGUAGGCAC